Pistacia vera is the source of this 879-nucleotide long non-coding RNA. RefSeq lists it as uncharacterized. The transcript has 3 exons. The record is from RefSeq and is a predicted model, not a curated record. Lineage: Eukaryota; Viridiplantae; Streptophyta; Magnoliopsida; Sapindales; Anacardiaceae.
UUGACUGUAACAUGCCUAUUGAGAUUCUUUCUAUCGAGGAAUGUGAAAACCUUAAAUCCAUUCCGGAGGGCUUACACACUCUUUGCAAACUACGUCGUAUGAGUAUCAGUAAGUGCCCCAGUCUUGUUUCGUUUCCAGAAGAUGGGCUUCCUGACACUGAUUCAGAAGUACAUAUCUUUGGGUGUGAGAAGCUACAAGCCCUACCUAGCCGCAUGCACUCCCUGAAAUCUCUUCAGGAGCUAUCCUUAUUGCAAUGUCCUAAUAUCGAAUCCAUUACAGCAGAAGAUUUCCCCUCCAACCUAAAAUCACUUACACUUCCUCUCAGCAUCUACAAGCCACUGACUGAGUGUGGUUGGCACAAACUUACAUCUCUUACCAGUCUCAGAAUUUGGGGAUUACCUGAUGCAAUAUCUUUCCCAGAAGAGAAGAUUAUAGAAAUAAAGUAUCCCAUCUCUCUAAUUAAUCUGAGCAUUGUUCGUUUCCCGAAAUUGAAAUACCUAUGUUCCAAAAAUUUCCGAGUUCUUAGAUCUCUUAAAUUUUUGACUUUCAAUGAUUGCCCAAAUCUCACAUCCUUUCCAGACCUUCCGUCCUCACUUUUGCGGCUACAUAUUUAUAGAUGUCAUUUAAUACAAAAUCAGUGCAAAAGGAAUGAAGGCCGAGAAUGGUCCAAGAUAGUUCACAUCCCUUGCGUUAAGAUAAAUGGAAAAUUCAUCUACACUCUGGAAGAGGAAAUGAGCUGAAUCCGAUACUAAUUCCUUCCAUCAUUGUAAUCAAUUUAGGGAGAAACUGAACAGUGACUCUUGGAUGCAAAAUGCCAACAUUGCAAUUGCACUGCUCAAUGAAGAAAGAGGCUAACAACAGAGCUCACAACAAUACAAG